This is a long non-coding RNA of Falco peregrinus (peregrine falcon), 596 nucleotides long. RefSeq lists it as uncharacterized. NCBI's taxonomy places the organism in Eukaryota, Metazoa, Chordata, Aves, Falconiformes, Falconidae. The record is from RefSeq and is a predicted model, not a curated record. The transcript has 3 exons.
GGUAGCGAUGGCCAACACGAUCCAGUGUUAGCAUGAGGAUGAAGGCAGCUGGGAACUCGACAAGAGCAGAAUAGAGGAAAUCCAGGUAAUCUUGCUCUUAGGUGAUUCAGACUAAACCCAUGGGCAAGGAAAAUGCCAGAUCUCAUCUGAUGUUGUCUUGGAAAUCCUACAUGUAGCACUAUGGCCAAUCCCUACAGAGAAGCUUCAGCUCUCAGCUUCAAUCCCCUGGUUUUGUCGAUGUGGCUUGGUGUUGCUGGGAGCUGUAGGAGCAGGCACUUACCAAUAAUAGAGCAAGAAGAAGAAUUUGGGCAGUGUGACUGUGAGCUGGAGCCACCUCCAGUGUGGAAGCGCGUAAGCCAGGGCGGUGAGGAUGAGGAGUCCCAGCGUGAAGGCAAGCUGCAGGCGCAAGCUUGCGUCUUAAACACCUGGAUUCAAGUAAAGAGGUGCUGUUUGGCAGUAAAUAGCAGUGUCCCUGCUAUUGUUACAUGCAAUUCCUUAAAAAUUGGAUGGCACCAGUGGGGGUCAGCCCUGCUGCUAGACAGGGGGUUCCUCCCCCCCAAAUGUAAUUGCAAGCUGCCGUAACUGAGGACGUAGCC